AAAAGUAUAUGUUUGCGUUUACUUCUGGAAUAAGCAACGAUUUAAGUUUGAGGUUGAGUACUAGAAUUUGAUAAUCAAAAAAAUAUUGAUAAAAAAAUAGAAGUUAGAAAAAUUGUUAUAAUGUUAAAAAUGUAGAGCUUGUGAAAAAAAGAAGAGAAAAAGAAAGUUAAAAUUCGAGUACACAUAAGUGAAAAAAACAAAGAAU
Molecule: long non-coding RNA, 205 nt
Filed under: Lathyrus oleraceus (garden pea)
Lineage: Eukaryota; Viridiplantae; Streptophyta; Magnoliopsida; Fabales; Fabaceae
Description: Pisum sativum (pea) long non-coding RNA (PSAT_LNC014925)
Source: RNAcentral